RNAcentral lists this ribosomal RNA (426 nucleotides) under uncultured bacterium. RNAcentral's name for it is "partial 16S ribosomal RNA". It matches the Rfam family "Bacterial small subunit ribosomal RNA", at positions 354 to 796 of the family's 1533-position model. The record is from RNAcentral.
GUGAGGAAUUUUCCGCAAUGGGCGAAAGCCUGACGGAGCAAUGCCGCGUGAAGGAUGAAGGCCUAUGGGUUGUAAACUUCUUUUCUCAGAAAAGAAUUAUGACGGUAUCUGAGGAAUAAGCAUCGGCUAACUCUGUGCCAGCAGCCGCGGUAAGACAGAGGAUGCAAGCGUUAUCCGGAAUGAUUGGGCGUAAAGGGUCUGUAGGUUGUUUAAAAAGUAUUCUGUCAAAGAUUAGGGCUUAACCCUAGAUAGGCAGAAUAAACUUUUAAGCUAGAGUUUGGUAGAGGCAGAGGGAAUUCCCGGUGGAGCGGUGAAAUGCGUAGAUAUCGGGAGGAACACCAAAGGCGAAGGCACUCUGCUGGGCCAAUACUAACACUGAGAGACGAAAGCGAGGGGAGCAAAUGGGAUUAGAAACCCGUGUAGUCC